UGCCCAGUGACAUAGUUAAACGGCCGCGGUACCCUGACCGUGCGAAGGUAGCAUAAUCACUUGUUCUUUAAAUGGGGACUCGUAUCAACGGCAUCACGAGGGCUUUACUGUCUCCUUUCUCCAAUCAGUGAAACUGAUCUCCCCGUGAAGAAGCGGGGAUGACAAUAUAAGACGAGAAGACCCCAUGGAGCUUUAAACCCAACGACACCCCUCAACCCCCCAACCCAUUAUAGUUGCUACAGCCCUGUUCGUUGGUUUUAGGUUGGGGUGACCGCGGAGUAUAAAUUACCCUCCACGACGAAUGGGACUACCCCCUUACCCAAGAGCUACUCCUCUAAGGAUCAACAGAUUGACGUAAAAUGAUCCAAGCAUUUGAUCAACGGACCAAGUUACCCUGGGGAUAACAGCGCAAUCCAUUUCAAGAGCUCCUAUCGACAAAUGGGUUUACGACCUCGAUGUUGGAUCAGGGUACCCAAGUGGUGCAGCCGCUACUAAUGGUUUGUUUGUUCAACAAUUAAAACCCU
RNAcentral lists this ribosomal RNA (524 nucleotides) under Hoplobatrachus rugulosus (rugose frog). RNAcentral describes it as "partial large subunit ribosomal RNA". It matches the Rfam family "Bacterial large subunit ribosomal RNA", at positions 1860 to 2597 of the family's 2925-position model. Lineage: Eukaryota; Metazoa; Chordata; Amphibia; Anura; Dicroglossidae. The record is from RNAcentral.